RNAcentral lists this long non-coding RNA (219 nucleotides) under Elaeis guineensis (African oil palm). RNAcentral's name for it is "long non-coding RNA (EGUI_LNC046766)". The record is from RNAcentral. Lineage: Eukaryota; Viridiplantae; Streptophyta; Magnoliopsida; Arecales; Arecaceae.
AGAUCUAAUCUGUGAACUACCACAUAGUCAGAUCUAUGAUAUAAAUAUGGCAUGCAAAUCAAAAAUCAAUUUUAUAGAUCAUAUCUAUCAUGUAUGUGAGAUUCGAUCUCAAUACCUUUAUACAGGUCGAUCUAUACUGUAGCUGAUGAUCAUGAAUUUGCUGGUUCUUUGAGCCACAUGCGUCCGACCUCUAUAGGUAUCCACAUGAAGUUCUCAGUC